This 72-nucleotide transfer RNA is filed under the name Piridium sociabile. RNAcentral's name for it is "tRNA-Phe". It matches the Rfam family "tRNA". Rfam says of the family: Transfer RNA (tRNA) molecules are approximately 80 nucleotides in length. Their secondary structure includes four short double-helical elements and three loops (D, anti-codon, and T loops). Further hydrogen bonds mediate the characteristic L-shaped molecular structure. tRNAs have two regions of fundamental functional importance: the anti-codon, which is responsible for specific mRNA codon recognition, and the 3' end, to which the tRNAs corresponding amino acid is attached (by aminoacyl-tRNA synthetases). tRNAs cope with the degeneracy of the genetic code in two manners: having more than one tRNA (with a specific anti-codon) for a particular amino acid; and 'wobble' base-pairing, i.e. permitting non-standard base-pairing at the 3rd anti-codon position. The record is from RNAcentral. Lineage: Eukaryota; Vitrellaceae.
GCUUAAAUAACUCAACGGUAGAGUAAUGGACUGAAGAUCCAUAAGUUGUCAGUUCAAAUCUGACUUUAAGCA